CUCACAUUUAUUGACACUUCCCCACUCCCUCAAUUCCCCAUAAUGCCCCUGGUAACUAACUGAUAACAGUUAGAGAACUAAGUUUGAUUCCCUGCAUCAACUCUUGCACCUGCCCUGCUGACUGUAUCACCUUCUUUUUUUCUCCUUGUGUAUGUAAAUAUAGUGGGUGGUCUAUCAGCAUUAACGAAGUUUAAUAGAAGCAUAUCACAGUCAUUAUAACAAACUUCAUUGGCUCUAUAAUACUCACCAAGAUACACUGUUUAUUUUGAAUUUUUGCAGUCAAUGGAUGAAAACAGAAGAUUCAUGUCUGGCACCAGCAUUGGGUAGAAAUAUAUCUGAAAAAACUAGCAAAAAGAGUUGAAGUAAGUUGACUUGUUUUCCCUUUUACAUUUCAUGAAAGUUUGCUCCACAAAUGUGCUUUGUAUCCGCCCUGCAAUCUUGCCUGUUUACACCUUGGAAUCUUGGACACAUUUACACUGUUGUUGGAGCAGUUGGAUCAGCUUUGCACUUUAUCUUUUAAUCAUCACAGCUGAGCCCGGCAACAGCUGUAUCUCGUUUUCUAUGCUUAAGACAUCUCAGUUCAAGUGACAGAUCAAUGUCUAUAAUGCACACAUUAUGCCUUUCAGCAUUCACAUCAAUCUUUAUCAUUGUCAGUUCCAUAUUUGAUUCCCCUUUUCUUUCUCCAAUUUCUUCCUUAGCACUUACCUGCUUCUAUCUGUCUAUCCUUCUAAGAAUGUCAUGACUUUCAUGUGUAUUUAUAACGUUUUUCGUCUUUUGGUUUCAUUAUGUCUCGUCUUUAAUUGUUACAAGUAUGUUUUGGACACAGACAGGAAUGACAAUAAAAACUAUGAAGACAAUCCUUGGCACAUGCACAAUAGGAAGAAAUCUGAUUGCUUCCAGAUAUUUGUUUUUAAUGUGUGGAUAGCUCAGUGAUCAGAUUUUGGAUUUGCUCUCCAGUGGUCACCAAUUCGAGUUCCCUAUAGGCCAGGCCACUGAGGUGAGUAUUUGAUUGUAAACUUUAGGGCCCCGUGGGAUUAAUCGAGGUGCACGUGAACUGGCUCGGACACCCAUGGUCAUUAAAAAAAAAAAGGAAUGACUAGCAUAUAGAAAACAACAGUAAAAAAAAAUUAACGGGAAUUAAAAGACAUGCAUAAUAAAGACACAUUUGAGUAUUUUCUUGGAUUCGUUACCUAUUUAUUCUGUUUUGCUUGUUUUUAAUUAAAGCCGGAACUCAGUUUGUUUGUUUACUCCACGUAGCUCCUUAUUUCGAUGAUUUCAAUGGAAUCAACUCUAUGACAUUCUGAUGAGGAUAUCGGACGACGUUUACUUAUUUUAUUUAAGCUUUAUUUAUUUUCUUGGACUAUUAUUUAAAUUUGGACUUGUAUGGGCUCGGGUCCAAGCUCGUUAGGGUUGCUUUACUGAUUAAAUCUAUCUUGCAUUGUAAUUUUCAGACGAUGAUGAAUUAGAAUUGAAAUAUUUUUGGUGGCUUGCAGCCGUUUUCUCCCUCCCCUCUCUUUCCCUAGUUUCUUCUCCUCUUCUCCCUUCUCUAUGUUUCUCCUCCCCGUUCCUUCUUCUUUCUUUCUUAUUCAUCCUACAUCAAAUUUGGUAUCAGAGCCGAACCAUAGGUAAUUUCUUUUCUUUAAUCCAAAAUUUAUUCAUAUUUCCUUCCCAAAAUCUGUUGGAACAGCACGAACUAAAAGAAUUUUUGGUAAAGGCAGCAGUUUUUUUUCUUCUUCUUCAAUUUUCAGUCUUAGUUGAAAAAAAAAAAAAAGUUUACUGUUCAUCGCAGGUACUGUUCACGCAGAAUUUCAAUUUAGUAUUUUGGUCAGUUUCUUAAAAAAAAAAAAAAGUUACUGUUCACGAGUACUUUUCAUGCCUAAAAAAAAAAAUUUCUCAUUUUUUUUUGCUGCUGCUCAUAAAAAAAAAAAAUAAAAAUUGUGGUGUUGUUCCACAAAUCCCAAACCCUAGCAUUCAAGCCCAUUUAGCCCAACUAACUCAGCCUACUCUUUACGACCCAUGCCCACUCUCCAAACACUAACCUCAGGUGGCCCAUCUCUAUUACAGGAUCCAAACCCCUUCCCAUCUGGCCCAGUCCCAAAUAUCCGACCAAGC
Molecule: long non-coding RNA, 2112 nt
Filed under: Olea europaea subsp. europaea
Lineage: Eukaryota; Viridiplantae; Streptophyta; Magnoliopsida; Lamiales; Oleaceae
Source: RNAcentral